GCCAAGGGGGCAUAGUGGUUUGAGCAUUGGGCUAUAACUUUGAAGAGCAGGGUUUGAAUCCCUGCUCUGCCA
Molecule: non-coding RNA, 72 nt
Organism: Phrynosoma platyrhinos (Desert horned lizard)
Lineage: Eukaryota; Metazoa; Chordata; Lepidosauria; Squamata; Phrynosomatidae
Source: the annotation of a GenBank genome assembly